UUUUGCAGCCUGAAAGUUUUGCAGCAAGUGUGGAAAAGUUUGCGCAAGUUUAUUUUCUCUGGACUGCGAUGGUUUCUCCAGGCGGAACAAGACGGAUGCAAAGAUGAUCGCCAGGUUCAGGAUGGGUAAUCAGUGCACGUUCAAGGUUGCUCUAUUUUAUACUUUUCAGCACCAAGUUACUGGGUUUCAGUAAAUGCAGAGUUUGAUGUCCCUUAGCCACCAAGAUAGCAGAAAUGAUUGCAAAACGUCAAAAUCUAUCAGUCACUAUAAACGCUGCAAAUUUGCCAGAUCAUUAUGAAAAACACACUAGCAAACCUACAAAACUGCCAAGGAGCUUCAAUGAAGCUAGUAGCUCAAAACAAACCUGAAAAAGUCUUCACUUGAGAAAAAAUAUUUGUCAAGUGUUUGGUGAAUAUGCAGCUUGAGUCUUGACAAGUUGAAUAAAACAACUGCAGAUGCUCGAAAUCUGAAACAAGAACAAAAAUUGCUGGAGAAGCACAAUUGGUAUGACAGUACAGAAAGCAAAGUUAAUGUUUCAAGUCCAGUGACCCUCCUUCAGAACUUGAUCGGUUUAACCAGGCAAAAUAUUGAAGGUAACAAAAUUGUGAUUUUUUUUCCAUAAUACAUUUAAGGGUGGCCAAAUCAGAUUGAAGACAUGCUCAAUGAUUUCAUUCCAAAACAAUCUGAUCAUACAACAUUUGUAAUUGUUACAUUUACCAUGUGAAAAUUGGAGAACUGGUGUUUGAGGAGUAACUUCUUCACUUUAAACUAGCAGCUUUGAACGAGAAAGACAGCAGAAAACUUUUAGGAAUGUCCUCAAAACUUCCUUGGAAGAGGUCAAUAAUCACUAUUGACUCAUGGGAGAUCCUGGCUAGUGUCUGACAAAAGUGGAGAACAUUCAUUUAGAGAUGCAGGGACCACAUCAAGAAAUAUCAUCGGGAAGCAACUGUAGACCCAAACGUUCAAUGACCACCCAGCUCUACAUGGCAGAGUCUACAUCGUGCCUCACUGGGACUGUCUAAGAAGAAUGAUUGUUUUUCCUGGUUUUGUACUUGAAGCAUGCUACCUGAGAAGUUCCAACAACCAGCAACUUACCUGAUAAAGAGAGUUCGUCAGCAGGAGGCGGCUUUGAUGGGCUCCAGAGCGGCGGUUGCGUCUUCAGAGGCAGCGUGGCUAGAGUUAGUCUGUCCGCCUGUGAAAGCUGGAGCGGGACACCUCUGUGAUAACAAGGUGUAGAGCUGGAUGAACACAGCAGGCCAAGCAGCAUCAGAGGAGCAGGAAAGCUGACGUUUCGGGCCUAGACCCUUCUUCAGAAAUGCGUGACACCUCUGUGUCGAGUGGACCCGUGCGGCGGCAUGGCCUGGGCUGGGAAGCCCGGAGCGGGACUCUGGCAGCAGUGUGGCAUGGGCUGGGAAGCUUGGAGUGGGAUUCUAGCGACACAUGCUGUAGCAGCAAAGAAGGAAAAGUUGGACUCUAAGUUUUUUUCAUUUUAUUCGAAGUUGAUGUGAAUGGUGCCAAUGUACAGGCAACACACUUUUCACUGUAUUUAAUAUUGAAUACACAGGUCAAUAAAGGUUGUUCUACUUUA
Molecule: long non-coding RNA, 1588 nt
Organism: Rhincodon typus (whale shark)
Lineage: Eukaryota; Metazoa; Chordata; Chondrichthyes; Orectolobiformes; Rhincodontidae
Exons: 2
Source: RefSeq, a predicted model, not a curated record